Molecule: ribosomal RNA, 253 nt
Filed under: uncultured bacterium
Lineage: Bacteria
Description: partial 16S ribosomal RNA
Rfam family: Bacterial small subunit ribosomal RNA
Source: RNAcentral
UACAGAGGGUGCAAGCGUUAAUCGGAAUUACUGGGCGUAAAGCGUGCGUAGACGGUUAUUUAAGUCGGGUGUGAAAUCCCCGGGCUCAACCUGGGAAUUGCAUUCGAGACUGAAUAGCUAGGGUUCGGAAGAGGGAAGCGGAAUUUCCGGUGUAGCGGUGAAAUGCGUAGAUAUCGGAAGGAACAUCAGUGGCGAAAGCGGCUUCCUGGUCCAGAACCGACGUUCAGGAACGAAAGCGUGGGGAGCACACAGG